GCGGGGUCUGUCGACUCGCCCUCCCCUAGCCGCCUAAGCCUUCCCUCCACUAACCGGGUCCCCUCCUCACAAGCAACACGGCUUCUGCUUCUCAGCUCUGCGACAGGGGCUUCCCCUCAACCUCAGCCGCCGCCGGCCAAGCACCGCCGCACCAGCGGCCCGCAGCCGCCAUGCAGUUUAUGUUGCUUUUUAGUCGUCAGGGAAAGCUUCGACUGCAGAAGUGGUAUGUCCCAUUAUCAGACAAAGAGAAGAAAAAGAUCACAAGGGAACUUGUUCAAACUGUUUUAGCACGGAAACCUAAAAUGUGCAGCUUUCUUGAGUGGCGAGAUCUGAAGAUUGUUUACAAGAGAUAUGCUAGUCUGUAUUUUUGCUGUGCUAUUGAGGAUCAGGACAAUGAACUAAUUACCCUGGAAAUAAUUCAUCGUUAUGUGGAAUUACUUGACAAGUAUUUUGGCAGUGUGUGUGAACUUGAUAUCAUCUUUAAUUUUGAGAAGGCUUAUUUUAUUUUGGAUGAGUUUCUUUUGGGAGGGGAAGUUCAGGAGACAUCCAAGAAAAAUGUCCUUAAAGCAAUUGAGCAGGCUGAUCUACUGCAGGAGAGCCAGAAUGAAGAAUGGGGAGGUUUGUCUGAGGAUGUCUUAUGAUAAAGAACAGUUUAAGACUUUAGUCUCUUUGAGCCCCAACUUAUUUAUUGCCACGUCAUGAAUAUUUUAAUGUCCCAGUGUACUAAAUGACUACUCGACGUGUACGCAGAGUCUCACAGAGGAAAUAGAAAGCUGAUAUACUUAUGAAAGAAAAUAUCCUCAGCUUGGUGACCAUCUUAUAAUAAUAGAAUGUUUCAGAAUCAAUACCUUUACCAUUGUAAUUGUUUCCUGUUCUUAUUCCUCUUUUCUGUUUUAUUUUCAUUCUAUAUGUGAUCUUGAGACAGCUUACUCCUGCUUGCAGCUGGCUUAAUUUUCUUCUGAAAAAAUGUGACCUAUGAAUGUUUUAGUAAUAUUUCAUCUUAAACACAUCCAUGUCAUUUGUGAACCAUUUGUGAUUAAUCUUGUAAGAGGCAAGCCUAGCAGUUGUUACAAUGUUUGCCAAAGAAAAUACAGCUGAAAUGCUAGGUUUAAAUAAGCAGUGCCAUAAUAUAUAGUGUGGUUUGGUCUUCAAAUGUUGGGGGCAAAAACUAUAUUUACUGUGACUAUAUUAUAGUCUAUAUGAACUAAUGUGUUUUAAUGUAUCACAUUACAAUUGUGUUCGGAAAUGCUAGUAAAAUCUGUACAAUGACAUCAUUUAAGUAAAAGAUGCACAGUUUUUCAGAGAUUUGUAAUGCCACAUUUAUUGAAUCACAUGUGUUCUGUAUAAUAAUACCAAACGAUCCCUUUAAGAACCAUCAGAAAGCUAUGUCAGGAAAAUCUUACCUGCAAUAUCUAAUAGUAAGUAACUUUUUCAACAUAUUAAUACUGAGUUGAUAGAGUCAAUUUCAAAUAUUUGAAUAAGUUUAAAUACUUACAUCUUACCAGUUACGGUUUUAUCAUAUAGUAUUCAUUUAAAAUACUUAAUGACUUGUUAACUAUGGUUUUAUAUUUCUGAAUAUUAAAACCUUUUGAAUUGAUCAUUAUUGUGUAUACAUUUAGUAAAACAUGCAACAUACUUGAUUAUAAAAGGAAAGUACCGAAUAAUUCAUUGUUUAUACCUGCAGAGUUUAAAGCCUGAGUUCAGUAAGCUGUCAUUAAACAGUAAAUUCAAAAGAUGCUUACACUGGCUUACCACUGAAAGACCUAUGAAAAUGUAUAUAAGGCAGGCAUGCAAAGCAGUGCUCACCAUUCACCAUAGCACCUAGACGGGCUAUCAAAUGAGGAAUUUAGCAUUAUACAUUGAAAGUGUUGGAAAACAUUGGUCUUUCAUUUCCAUUUUUCCCCUCCAUCCCUCUCCCUGCCCUGCAAUAUAUUAUUUACCUGGUUUUAAUGCUGCAUAAAUAUGCAUUGUCUCAUGCCUGUUUGUUUUGGAUGCUGUGUGUUGAGCUGUUGUAACAAGAUGUUGCUUGUUUUGUUUUCUGUAUACAGCUGCUUGCUUUGAAUUCGUAGAUUCUGAAAUAGCUUUCCUUGCAUGUCUAAAAUAAAAAUAUUGCAUGUA
This is an RNA transcript of Artibeus jamaicensis (Jamaican fruit-eating bat), 2118 nucleotides long. It is a transcript of the gene named adaptor related protein complex 1 subunit sigma 2, with no coding region annotated. Lineage: Eukaryota; Metazoa; Chordata; Mammalia; Chiroptera; Phyllostomidae. The record is from RefSeq and is a predicted model, not a curated record. The transcript has 6 exons.